Molecule: long non-coding RNA, 735 nt
Organism: Coregonus clupeaformis (lake whitefish)
Lineage: Eukaryota; Metazoa; Chordata; Actinopteri; Salmoniformes; Salmonidae
Exons: 7
Source: RefSeq, a predicted model, not a curated record
UGCACGACCUGCGCAUGUGAAUUUGUUGAUGGCUUACUAUGGUGAGGCUGCUUCUCUCCAGAGGAGCCAACAUUAAUGCCUUUGACAAGAAGGAUCGCCGAGCAAUCCACUGGGCUGCUUACAUGGGGCACAUUGAGGUGGUGAAACUGCUGGCCUCUCAUGGAUCAGAGUUGUCCUGUAAAAACAAGAAGGCCUACACCCCUCUCCACUCUGCAGCCUCCAGUGGAAUGAUCAGUGUGGUCAAGUACCUCCUGGACCUUGGUGUGGAUAUAAAUUAGCCCAAUGGGUACGGUAACACCUCCCUCCACGUGGCAUGCUACAACGGGCAGGAUGUGGUGGUGAAUGAGCUGAUCGAGUGCGGCGCCAACGUGAAGCAGGUGUACGAGAAGGGUUUCGCCCCACUCCACUUCACGGCCGCCUCGCGCCAUGGGGCGCUCUGCCUGGAGCUGCUGGUGGACAACGGGGCCCUCGUCAACAUCAAGAGUAAAGAUGGAAAGACCCCCCUCCACAUGACGGCCAUCCAUGGACGCUUCUCCAGAUCUCAAGCCAUCAUCCAGAAUGGUGCUGAGAUCGACUGUGAAGAAAAGAAUGGAAACACACCUCUGCACAUCUCUGCUCGCUACGGCCAUGAGUUACUCAUCAAUACACUCAUCACGAACGGAGCUGACACAGCCAAGCGAGGCGUCCAUGGGAUGUUCCCCCCUCCACCUGUCUGCUCUCAGUGGGUUCUCUGAC